AUGCUCGCUUCAAUAACACAUACACUAAAAUUGGAAUGACACAGAGAAGAUUAUGCAUGACCCCGUGCAAGGAUGACACACAAAUUCAUAAAGCAUUCCAUAUUUUU
Molecule: small nuclear RNA, 107 nt
Organism: Nomascus leucogenys (northern white-cheeked gibbon)
Lineage: Eukaryota; Metazoa; Chordata; Mammalia; Primates; Hylobatidae
Source: Ensembl